Molecule: long non-coding RNA, 2503 nt
Filed under: Homo sapiens (human)
Lineage: Eukaryota; Metazoa; Chordata; Mammalia; Primates; Hominidae
Description: HSALNT0210145
Source: RNAcentral
AUGCUGCAGAAAAUAGUAUGGACCCUUGUAGCUCCCAUUUUUCCUCCCAGUUAUGGAAUUAUUUAUGCUACUUACUCUUACAAAUACAACCAGGUGUCCUCUUGGAGAGGGGGAGUUGGGUAGUAUUUACCUUACAGAGGCUGAAUUUUCCAAAGGAGAGCCUUUAAACUAGACAAAACUUUAAGUUUCCAAUGUUGAAGCUCAAAAUGUUCUUCUCUGAUACCCAACAGGAAAAGUGCUUACUUGAAAGAUUUGAUUUAAUUUGUCAUAGAAUACAAGGUACAGUAUUUUUUUUUUAACUUUUUUUGUUCAUUUGAGUCCUAGAGAGAAAAAUAUUCUUCUCUAUUAAUAGUAAUAUCGGAUCAUUUACCUAUUUUAUAAUUUUUUCUCUGUUCCAGUAUAUACACUUAUUUUCAUUUAAUGUCUGUUUGCAUUGCUAAAAGACACUGAAUAGAAAUGAUAAUAAUAGUGUUAAGUUGGCUCUUAUUUGAAGUGGGAAACUUCCAUAACAGAGCAAUACAUGUCUUUGUUUAUGAGUUGUGAGCCCUCAUAUUCCCUUAGAUAAUAUUCACCUUGAUACCAACCUCUUGGAUAAAUUCAGUUCUCCUUGUCUUUGUUCUCAUAGGCCACCGUAUAUACACAAUAUUUGGGCUUAUACUACUAUACUAUAAAUUGGGAAUUUUAGCCUGUGCCUUCCACUGGGACAGUGACUCCCUGAGAGUAAAACUUUGGUUUUCUGCGGUAUUCAGUCCCUGAUGUGGUGUUUAUCACAUGAUGGAUGCUCACUUUAUAUGCUUAAGAAUCCAACAAAUUGGUGUUUUGAGGAUAUGCAUUGGAUUCUAAAGUGGCAGUGUUGUCUGAAAAUAGAAUUUAUAAAUAUACAAGAUUAUUAUACUGUCAUUUGAGAUUACAUUAGAAUAUAAUUAACAAGAAAGAUGAUGCACAUAAUGCAUUAAUCAUCUCUGUAUUUGGUGUAUAUAUACAAAGGAAACAGAAAGUUAAUAAGUACUUUAACUUAAUGAGAAUUUCCCUAAAUUCAACUGUACUUUCUCUGACUGAUUUAAAUUUCACUUCAAUUACACAUCAUCUUUUCAUUUUAUAUGAAUUCCCAGUUUGUGACAUUUCUAAAUUAAAAAUUAGAUGAGAAUUUUAGAUGAUUUAAGACAAUAUUUUUAAACAUGUUACAUCAAUCUUCUGAGUUGUUUAAAAGCAAGACAUUGUCACUCUCUACUGCUGAAUAUGAUGCAUAUAAUUUAUGAUACGUUCAGUGAAUAAGGAGGAGAAUACACAGAGGUUUUUAAAUAAAAUAAAUCUUAUUUAAAUUAAAAUCUAUAUGUUGGGUUGAGUUUAGGAGCAACUGAAUAAGUAGUAGAACGUAAUUUGGAGAGCAUAAUGGCAAAUUCAGGAAUUAUUUCAGUUGCUAGGUACUAUAUAAAAGGUGCCGAGAACAGAGACAUUGAAGAACUGUGUAAAGGCCAGUUACUUUAACCAUUUAGUUUUUAGUAUGUAAAGUAAGUAGAUUGCACAAAGAAUAUUUAUAAAUUACUUUUCAAGUUUAAGCAUUUUAUUCAAUCUGUGGGAAAAUUAUAAACUCUUGUCAUGCACUAAAGCAAAGAAUAUUAAAAAGAACAAGCAUAUUAAAAACUGUAAAAGCCUACAUUAUUUUUUAAGGAAGGAUCGCAUCUUGUUUACUCUUUGUUUUUUGUGGAAGCUAUUAUAAAAGAAAAUGAAUGAGUUAACAAAUUGGCAGAUAUUAUAUAUAUAAAAAUUAAUGAGCUAUUUAGCAAUUAAUUUAAAGGAAAAGCUUAUUAAUAACUUCAGUGGAUUACUUAUAGUUUUAGAAUUUGAAGGUUGACAAAUUGCAUCUCUAAUUCAAGUAAGAAAUAAAAUUUAUAAUGGGAAGUUAUGUCUUUGAAGAGUCAGUAUCUUACUGUUGUGUGCCCAUAAAAAGGUUCAGUUAACAGAGACAAGAGAAAUACUCCUUUGAUUUUUCCCAUUAUAUGAGCAAUGCAUGCUCAUUAUCACUUGUUAAAACUACAUGGUACAUAAAGAAAAAAAAGUUAGAUUUAUAGAUUAAUAGUAACAUGGAAUAAAUCCCUAACAUUCUCUCUUCCGUAUCCUUCUCUGAAAUUAUAAAAUGGAGAUGAAGAAGUUUCAACAUCGGGACCAUAAUUCAAUUCUCUCCUAACUACUGAUUACAAUUGUGGUGGAGAAAAAGGUGUUCCUGGAGAAAGAAAGAAGACCAGAUAUUAGAGUGGGAAAGAAAAGAACAUUGAAUUAAAACAAACGAGACUCAGUGACACGGGAAAGACAUAGAGAAAAAGGCCACGUGAAGACAGAUGUAGAGAUUGAAAGGAUGCAGCUAUAAGCCAAGGAAAGCCAAGGAUUGCUGGCAGCCAUGAGAAGCUAUGAGAGAGGUAUGGAAUGGAUUCUCCCUCAGAGCUCCCAGAAGGAACUAAGCUGUUGACACCUUGAUUUCAGACUUACGGCAUCCUGCACUGUG